AGCAAACGCUGGCGGCGUGCCUAAUACAUGCAAGUCGAACGGGGAAAGUAGCAAUACGAGUACUAGUGGCGCACGGGUGAGGAACACGUGGGUAAUCUGCCUUCGAGCGGGGGAUAACUAAUCGAAAGAUUGGCUAAUACCGCAUAAGACCACAAGAUCUGCGGAUCUAGGGGUCAAAGCCGCAAGGCACUUGAAGAUGAGCCCGCGUAAGAUUAGGUAGUCGGUGAGGUAACGGCUCACCAAGGCGAUGAUCGUUAGCUGGUCUGAGAGGAUGAUCAGCCACACUGGAACUGAGACACGGUCCAGACUCCUACGGGAGGCAGCAGUAGGGAAUAUUGCGCAAUGGGGGCAACCCUGACGCAGCGACGCCGCGUGAGUGAUGAAGGCCUUCGGGUCGUAAAGCUCUGUUAUAUGGGAAUAAGAUCUGAAUGUACCAUGUGAGAAAGGAUCGGCUAACUUCGUGCCAGCCGCCGCUGUAA
This 479-nucleotide ribosomal RNA is filed under the name uncultured bacterium. RNAcentral describes it as "partial 16S ribosomal RNA". It matches the Rfam family "Bacterial small subunit ribosomal RNA", at positions 29 to 523 of the family's 1533-position model. The record is from RNAcentral.